AGAACAAAAUCGUUACUAUUUAAAUAAUGUACCAACUGAUAUGUAUCCUAGUUUAAGUUGUCCCGAUUACAACGAAUACUAUACUACUAAUAAAUUAUUAAAUGAUUCGGAUAAAUAUUAUCGUAGGGUUAAAAGUAAUAAUAAUAUAAUGAUGAAUGUUGCUGACAAUGGUAAUGAUGUAUUUUGUAACGACAUGAAACGAUCAAACAGGGUAUUUAAUUAUAAUGUUUCUACAGAGAUUGGUUCGGAUCAGUAUAACCAUAUCGAUUCAAGAAAUGUUAUACAUUAUGUAGAUAAUAAACCUACUGUUGAUUAUGCAUAUACAGGGUUUGAAAUUCGAUCAUGUAAAGAAGAUUUGAAACGGUUAGAGUAUAGUUUGAAUGAUAAAUAUGGUAGUUUUAAACUUUUUGAAAAAUGGCUUAAAGAUUGUUCUAAAUGGCAAUGGAUAGAUUUGAAGUUACAAAGUGAGUUUGUAACUAGUAAUGUUGAAUUAGAUAAAUUAAAAGAAGAGAAAAAGAUAUAUUUAGAAAAAUGUAUAAAUAAUAAAAUAAAAGAGUUAUGGUGUGCUUGUAUGAAAGGAUUAAUAAAUUUAAAACUAUGUGAUUUAGAAAAAAAAGUAGUAACAAAAUUUGCUCCUAAUAAAAUUAUAAAUAAUAAUAAUAUUAGCGAUGUGAUUUUAGAUUAUGAAAGAAAUGCAAUGUGUUAUCAUGACUUGUAUGCAAAAAUGAUACAAAUGACACAGACGACAAAAAUGGCAGAAGUGACAGGAAAUAAUCCAAAACAAGGGUUAAUACAUAAAACGAACCGAACCGAUUUUGAUGAUCAUAAUAAUGAUGAACAUAUUAAUGAAUAUAACUUAGGAGAACAUGAUGGAAUGGAAAAAAAUUCAGCUCGAAAUGGAAAAAAUGAGAAAUACCAUUAUCAUAAAAGAAAAGGCUAUGUUCAAUCGUUAAUUCAUAGUUUUAAUAAGAAAUCGCAAAAAAAUAUUGAUAAAAAUAAUUCAUAUUUAAAAGAUGGUUAUGGUACUACUACUAACCAAACUAAUGACCAUAAUACUGUUUAUGAUGUUGUAAAAAAUAAUGUUAAUAAUAAUAAAAGUUUGAAUAAUGUUAAUUUGAAAUCACAGUAUGCUUCGUUAAAUGUAGAAAAGAGUGUACAAGAGAAUGUACACGAGAAAAAACACACACAAAACUUAAAAGACGACAAUAUAGUUAUAAUUGAUAAUAAAAAAAAAAUAAAAAGAAAUGAUGAUGAAGUAAAAUUUAAAAAAGCGUUACCAGAAAUUAGUAAAAAUAACAUACACUUUAAUUUUAGUGAGUAUACUACUAAUAAUAGGUUAAGUGCGUAUAAUCAAGCUAAUACAAAAAAUAAAAACUUGCACAUGGUAAAUACAUCAGAAUAUACGAAUUUAAAAAGAAACAAAAAAGAUGAGCUGAACGAAGGGCAGAGAAGUAGAAAAAACUCAUUUUUUGAUAGUUUCAUCUCAACAAAUACCGAACUGAGUAAAAGUUUUAACAACACGAAUUCUAAUUAUAGUAUGUUACUUAUGCAGAGUAAAAUGGAUAUUUCGCAAAAUAACGAAAGUGAUUAUGGCAGCAGUAUACACAGAAGUAGUAAACCCCCAUCUGUCGAUCAAAUGAAGUCCGAAGAAAAAGGCAACGAGGAAUAUAACAAAAAAGAGAAAGUCAAAAAAAGUAACAUGAGUGCUUUUAAAAAAAUUUUUAAUUUAAAUAGGAAGAAAAAAAAUAAAGAUGAUUUAGAUAAAAGAGGUAAUAAAAUAAAAAAAAAAAAAACAGAAUCAGAUACAGAAAGAUAUAAUAAUCGUAACAUCAAUCAUAAUAAUAAUCAUAAUAAUAAAAAAAAAAAAAGUGAAACAAGUAUUAAUAAAAAUUUCAGCAUAAGCAUGACUCAAAACGAUAAUUUGAAAAAUAGCAAAAGUGAAAUAUAUAGUAAUAGUAAAAAUAAUGUGAUUUCAAAUAAUCAGUCAUAUUUAUCAGAUGAAUAUAAAUAUGACAAUGAUAUUGAAUUUGAAAUAUUACAAAAAGAAGUAGGAGAUCAUUUACAUCUUAAAGAUGAACAAAAAAAACAGGAAACUAUUAAUGAAUUAAAUUAUGACGAAAAUUAUGGAGACAGUGUCAAUGCACGUUUUACGAAAAACACACAUAUAAAGGGGUAUAGUAAGUUAUAUGAAUUGGGCGAUGAAAGCGAUGGAAGUGAUGGAAGUAGCGAAAAUGGUAGUAAAAAAAAAAUGAAAAAACAUCAUAACUGUAAAGAAGGUAAUGCUAGCGACCAUGGUGUUAAUGUACACGAAAAUAGUAGUAGGUAUGGAGGAGACCAUCUCAAUUACGCUAGCGAACAUAUGGAAUAUACUGGGCGUACUACACAAGUGAAUGACGAAAAGCGUAAUAAUAACAACGAAAAUAACAAAACAACACAAAACAACACACAAAACAAUACAAAAAACAAUACAAAAAACAAUACAAAAAACAAUAUACAAAACAAUAUAAAAAACAACACACAAAACAAUACAAAAAACAACACACAAAACAAUANNNNNNNNNNCAACACACAAAACAAUACAAAAAACAACACACAAAACAAUACAAAAAGCAAUACACAAAUUAGAGACGAUUUAAUAAUAACAAAACAAUUUAAAAAACGAAAUGAUUGGCUUAAAAAAAAAGGAAAUAAAUCAUGUUCUCAUUUAAAAUUUAUUGAUCAGAUAGAAGUUAAAAAUAAUAAUAUUUUAUUAAAAGAAUCACCAAAUGUUUCUAAUGUUUUAAUAAAAGAGAACAGUACUACUACACCUGUUCGUGAUUUUAGUAAAAACAUAACUGAUGAAAAAAAGCAUAACUACAAUAAGAGAGAUGAAAAAAAUGUUGUAAGGAAUAUGUUUAUGGAUGAUAUUGUGUUAAAUCAUGAGGUUGCUAAUCAUAAUCGUGCUAGAAGUAGUAGUAGUAGUAGUGGUAGUAGUAGUGGUAGUGGUGGUAGUAGCCGUAAUGAUAAUAAGAAAUACAAAGAAAAAGAUAAAAAAUUAACAGAUUCUUAUUUGUAUGAUUAUUCAAAUAAAGAUGAUAAUGUAUAUGAAAAAUUUUCUAAGAUUGGAUCGAUUAAAGAAAAAAAAAAAAAAAUAAAAUUAACAAAUUCUUUAAAAAUUUAGGAAAAUUGAGAUUUAAAAGUCCAAAAAAAAACAAAAAAACUAAAUUAACAGAUGUUGAUGAUAAUAUAUUAGAUGCUGUUGAUCGUGAUGACUAUAAUCAUUGUAUAAGUAAAGGUAAGAAGUCGAAAAGUAAUCCUAGUAUUAGUGAUAUUAAUUUAGAAUCGGAAGUUUUGAAGAUCCCUUCAUGGGAUAGUGAAUUAAGUGAGCACAGUGUAGUUAGUAGUAAAAGUUCUGUUAGUAAUAAGGGUAGUGUUAUUAGUAAAAGUCAUAGUAUGAGUAAAAGUCAUAUUAUUAGUAAAAAUCGUAUUAUUAGUACUAAAAACGGUAUUCGUAGUAAAAGCUACAUUAGUAGUAACAAAAGCGAUGUUAGUAACAAAAAAAUGAGUGAUAAUACUAAUAAGUUUUAUUCAUAUGUACACAAAUUGAAGCAUAAAAGUGAAGAAUCUCUACCUGUACAUGUGAAUACGUCAGAUAAACAGUUUAAAUUGAGCAUGGAAAAAAAAAAAAA
RNAcentral lists this long non-coding RNA (3668 nucleotides) under Piliocolobus tephrosceles (Ugandan red Colobus). RNAcentral describes it as "lncRNA (ENSPTEG00000015415.1)". Lineage: Eukaryota; Metazoa; Chordata; Mammalia; Primates; Cercopithecidae. The record is from RNAcentral.